GUUUUUGUCCACUGACAUAUUUUCUGUUUUGCGCCCCCCAGCCAGUAGUCGCUCCAGGAAGCGUGCAAGGGGUGUACGAGGCCCGAACUGUGAACCUUUCUAGUUAGGAACUGAGUUGAUUAUUUUUGUUGGGAUUGCCUAAAUUACAAGGGAGACUGUCAAAAUUUUGGCAGAAAGUCUCGAGUUUUUGGUAAGUGGGCCCGGCAUCGGGAAGAUGUCGGAAUAAAGACGGGGUCCGCUUCGGUUUCCUGUCAACAUCAGCUGUACCGGUGCAGCCAGUAAUCCAAAGGCCAGUAUUGCAUUUUAAAAAUGAAGGGCUAAGAUUGAAUGACCGGAAGACUUGUUGUGCCUUUUGUUACUAAAUAUCACGUGACAUACACGUGACUGAGAAAACAAGUAAAAAGCUUCAACAAAAGUGCGGAAGUCCUCACGUGCACUGGAGCUGCUUAUCUCUGCGAUCGAUCUCUCUCUUGGAAAUCCAAUCCUCAUCUGUGUCCCCAAAUCAGAAUCUGGGAGUCUCACCUCUGCCGACGCCGAGAUGCAACAGUCAUCGGACAUCGCCGAUUCCGGAAUCACCAUCCACGCAAGGUUUGCCUGCUUAGUUGUCUUCUUUUUCCAUCGGUUCAAUUCAGAAGAUUACUCGGUUUUUGUCUUUGAAGAAUCUUUAUCAAGAAGCUUGGAAGCAAUUGGGUUUUGGGGUUGAUACAUCUGGCAGAUCACCACAUGCUCUCCAUUUGUUUGCUGAAAUGUCACACUCAUGUUGGGUAUGCAAUGGCGGUACUGCACUUCUUGAUUUUGAUCUUGGCUACCAUAUGGGCAUUCGAGACGAUGGUGGUGGUGAGUUUCUCACGAGUUGCUUCAUUGGAGGGUUGAUGGCAGAGAGCUUCGCCAGGACUUGUACUUGCUUCGUUUUGUUCCUGUUCAAGAAGCCUCUACGCCAAAUCUAAAAUUGCUCAAGGUUAUACAGGGCUUUAUCAAGAAUUGUUCAGUUGUCAUUUUCCUUGAUUCUGGUAGUUCACGAAAUUUCAUUGGUUUGGCACUAUUCAAAUGGUUAGGGUCCAGGAUUAUGAUUGUGUCCACACUGUUUUUACUCUUCCGUUGGGUAAUUGCAUUCUUGAUUUUGAUGUUGGCUACCUUCUGGGCAUACGUGGCCAAGGUGGUGGAUUUGAAGUUGAUAAUGGGCAUACUGGAAAAGAAGAAAAUUUCUGCAAGGUUUAUGGCUAUGAGCUUGAGUCAUUGAGAGCUUUACUUCUUUCUCCCAGGGCUCAUUCCAAAGGACUUGGAGCCAUUGAUGUGUUAGUGAGCUUUCCAAUAAUUGGGGAGUUUUAUGUGGGUGGGCUGCCAAUCCAGCAGCAGUGAGACCAUGAGCAUUGUUUGGUUCAGCAUCUCUGUAAUUGCAUGCUCUGAUGGUGGCCUUGUUCAAGCCAACCAAUUAAUAUAUUGCUACAACAAUAUGAGUUCAAUGGCACACAUCCAUCACUGAAAUGGCAGCAACUUGUUGGUUCGAAUUCCAGAAUUUCAUCCUUGAGGACAAGGAUUGUUUUUGUGGGGAGGGUAGAUAGGAAUCUCUAUAUAAGCUGGAACUAGCUUAGUUGUUAACCAUUAGUUAGGCUAUGCUUAGUUGACAGUUGGUUAGGUUAACUCUAUAUUAACUAAGUGAGUCUGUAUUUGAGGGAGUUAGUUGAGAAAUUGUAUCUUUUUCUUUGUGAAAGAAAUAAUAUCAUUGCUCUUGAGAUAUUGAGUUAAAGUAGAAGGCAGGUACUAUCAAUUUAUACAAGAACCGCUAAAACUCUAAACCUAAGAUCGAAGUGGAGGAUAACGCAGAGGCCAAUGCACAAUGAUGGCUUCCUGCACACACUAGGCUUCACUUUCUCACCUGCUUCCCGUAGGGUGCAACUUGAGAGUGGAAAAUUCAAUGUUUUCCAACUCCUCCUUUAGGCCACAGGUAACUUCCGGAAUGCAAAAAAUGGCAGCAGUUGGCGAAUGUAGUGCCGAAGGAAAUUGGUACGAAGGGGAAAACUCCAAUUGACUGCUUGCGUAAUCUUUCUUGUUAAUAGUGUGAAUUAUAUGACAAAACAAAGAAAUUUAAUUUGGGAACCCAAUUUUAGAGUUUUCACAUGUCUAAAUUGAAAUGUUUUUGUAAGUGAAAGCUCAUCAUGA
Long non-coding RNA from Prunus persica (peach), 2160 nucleotides. RefSeq lists it as uncharacterized. The record is from RefSeq and is a predicted model, not a curated record. The transcript has 4 exons. Lineage: Eukaryota; Viridiplantae; Streptophyta; Magnoliopsida; Rosales; Rosaceae.